AUUUAGGUGGUCCUGUGGGUAGCACAGUCGCCUCACAACAGGAAGGUUCUGGGUUCGAAUCUCUGCUUGGAGU
This 73-nucleotide transfer RNA is filed under the name Anguilla anguilla (European eel). RNAcentral's name for it is "tRNA-OTHER". Lineage: Eukaryota; Metazoa; Chordata; Actinopteri; Anguilliformes; Anguillidae. The record is from RNAcentral.